Molecule: ribosomal RNA, 253 nt
Filed under: uncultured bacterium
Lineage: Bacteria
Description: partial 16S ribosomal RNA
Rfam family: Bacterial small subunit ribosomal RNA
Source: RNAcentral
UACGGAGGGUGCAAGCGUUAUCCGGAUUCAUUGGGUUUAAAGGGUGCGUAGGCGGUCUAAUAAGUCAGUGGUGAAAGCCUCUCGCUCAACGGGAGAACUGCCAUUGAUACUGUUAGACUUGAAUCAAGUUGAAGUGGGUGGAAUACGUCAUGUAGCGGUGAAAUGCAUAGAUAUGACGUAGAACGCCGAUUGCGAAGGCAACUCACUAAGUUUGUAUUGACGCUGAGGCACGAAAGCGUGGGGAGCGAACAGG